UGGCGGCGUGCCUAAUACAUGCAAGUCGAGCGAACUGAUUAGAAGCUUGCUUCUAUGACGUUAGCGGCGGACGGGUGAGUAACACGUGGGCAACCUGCCUGUAAGACUGGGAUAACUUCGGGAAACCGAAGCUAAUACCGGAUAGGAUCUUCUCCUUCAUGGGAGAUGAUUGAAAGAUGGUUUCGGCUAUCACUUACAGAUGGGCCCGCGGUGCAUUAGCUAGUUGGUGAGGUAACGGCUCACCAAGGCAACGAUGCAUAGCCGACCUGAGAGGGUGAUCGGCCACACUGGGACUGAGACACGGCCCAGACUCCUACGGGAGGCAGCAGUAGGGAAUCUUCCGCAAUGGACGAAAGUCUGACGGAGCAACGCCGCGUGAGUGAUGAAGGCUUUCGGGUCGUAAAACUCUGUUGUUAGGGAAGAACAAGUACAAGAGUAACUGCUCGUACCUUGACGGUACCUAACCAGAAAGCCACGGCUAACUACGUGCCAGCAGCCGCGGUAAUACGUAGGUGGCAAGCGUUAUCCGGAAUUAUUGGGCGUAAAGCGCGCGCAGGCGGUUUCUUAAGUCUGAUGUGAAAGCCCACGGCUCAACCGCGGAGGGUCAUUGGAAACUGG
RNAcentral lists this ribosomal RNA (618 nucleotides) under Priestia megaterium. RNAcentral describes it as "bacterial SSU rRNA". It matches the Rfam family "Bacterial small subunit ribosomal RNA", at positions 37 to 636 of the family's 1533-position model. Lineage: Bacteria; Bacillati; Bacillota; Bacilli; Caryophanales; Bacillaceae. The record is from RNAcentral.